GACAAUGGGCGCAAGCCUGAUCCAGCCAUGCCGCGUGCAGGAAGACUGCCCUAUGGGUUGUAAACUGCUUUUAUACAGGAAGAAACACUCCCUCGUGAGGGAGCUUGACGGUACUGUAAGAAUAAGGAUCGGCUAACUCCGUGCCAGCAGCCGCGGUAAUACGGAGGAUCCAAGCGUUAUCCGGAAUCAUUGGGUUUAAAGGGUCCGUAGGUGGACUGCUAAGUCAGAGGUGAAAUCCCACAGCUUAACUGUGGCACUGCCUUUGAUACUGGUAGUCUUGAGUCAUUAUGAAGUGGUUAGAAUAUGUAGUGUAGCGGUGAAAUGCUUAGAUAUUACAUAGAAUACCGAUUGCGAAGGCAGAUCACUAAUAAUGUACUGACACUGAUGGACGAAAGCGUGGGUAGCGAACAGGAUUAGAUACCCUGGUAGUCCACGCCGUAAACGAUGGUUACUAGCUGUUUGGACUUCGGUCUGAGUGGCUAAGCGAAAGUGAUAAGUAACCCACCUGGGGAGUACGUCGGCAACGAUGAAACUCAAAGGAAUUGACGGGGGCCCGCACAAGCGGUGGAGCAUGUGGUUUAAUUCGAUGAUACGCGAGGAACCUUACC
RNAcentral lists this ribosomal RNA (608 nucleotides) under uncultured Bacteroidota bacterium. Its description in RNAcentral is "bacterial SSU rRNA". It matches the Rfam family "Bacterial small subunit ribosomal RNA", at positions 367 to 975 of the family's 1533-position model. Lineage: Bacteria; Pseudomonadati; Bacteroidota. The record is from RNAcentral.